UACUGCACUGAAGUUUCUUUGAAGUUGGUAGU
RNAcentral lists this non-coding RNA (32 nucleotides) under Mus musculus (house mouse). Lineage: Eukaryota; Metazoa; Chordata; Mammalia; Rodentia; Muridae. The record is from RNAcentral.